GGCCAGGUAGCUCAGUCGGUAGAGCAGGGGACUGAAAAUCCCUGUGUCGGCGGUUCAAUUCCGUCCCUGGCCACCA
Molecule: transfer RNA, 76 nt
Filed under: Gammaproteobacteria bacterium
Lineage: Bacteria; Pseudomonadati; Pseudomonadota; Gammaproteobacteria
Also listed under: 4 other names
Description: tRNA-Phe
Rfam family: tRNA
About the family: Transfer RNA (tRNA) molecules are approximately 80 nucleotides in length.
Source: RNAcentral